GGCCAGUUAGAGUUUUUUAUAGGGGGUCGGUGGUUAUCGACCACUAGGACCCGGGUUCGAUUCCCGCAUUGGACA
Non-coding RNA from Cordylochernes scorpioides, 75 nucleotides. The record is from the annotation of a GenBank genome assembly. Lineage: Eukaryota; Metazoa; Arthropoda; Arachnida; Pseudoscorpiones; Chernetidae.